CCGUCACGUCACACACUCUGUUUUGGACUUCUUCUCGAUUAAAAUCUCAUCAUAUCCAAAUACAACUCGUUUUUAAAUUUUGUCUUCGUCUACGCUGUGGCAACUGCCAUUGCAGCGAUUAUAAUUUGAAAAAUCAACUAAAUCUGAUACAAACGUUACUUAUUAGUAGAGACCUUCUCCAAAACCACCCCAAUUUCUUGCCGUGAACGUGAAAAACUAGGGUUUCCGUAAUUGCAAUCGCUACAAUAACUUGCACCAAGAUUGCCAGCCACCUUCUUUAUCCAAUGCAAUGCAAACUUCUUCCUUCCUUCCAAUUAGUAGAACCAUUCAACUUUUUUCCACUCGCCGAGCUCCUUUCACCACGCUUUUGACUCUCUACAAAUAGAAAUAUUCAGUCAAAGUGGCUGUCGCUUUUCGUCGAAUACUUGGGCUGCAUAUAACACAAUUAUUAAUAUUAAUAUUAAUAUUAAUAUUAAUAUUAUUAUUAGUAUUAGUAUUAGUAUUAGUAUUAGUAUUAGUAUUAGUAUUAGUCUCUCACGAAAUUUGAAGAAAGCACUCUGUUUAUAACUUUAUAUAGAUGCUUCUCUUUAUUGCUCAUUUUUAAAAACGAAACUGCAAUUUCAGGUGAAACAUGUGUGUGCUCCUCUCUCUUGAUUGUACGUCAAUCAAAUUCAAUUAUUGUAAGACUUAAGCAAACAUGUAUAAAGCAAGAUUCGGUGAGCAUGGCCAUGAAUCCAUGGAGGAGCAACCUUACGUUGAAACUGAUCCCAGCGGUCGUUAUGGUCGAUUGGAGGAGGUGUUGGGGAAGGGCGCGAUGAAGACGGUGUACAGGGCGAUUGAUGAGAUGCUCGGGAUGGAGGUAGCCUGGAACCAAAUCAGGCUUGUCGACUUGCUUCAAUCCUCAGAGGACUUGGAGCGUCUCUACUCCGAGGUUCACCUUCUCAGCACCCUCAAUCACGUCUCAAUCAUCCGAUUCUACACUUCUUGGAUUGAUGUCAAGAACAGAACUUUCAAUUUUAUCACCGAAAUGUUCACAUCGGGGACCCUGAGAGAGUAUAGGGCGAAGUACAAACGAGUGAACAUCCGGGCUAUAAAGAUAUGGUCUCGGCAAAUACUUGAAGGCCUUGUAUAUCUGCACAAUCACGAUCCUCCAGUGAUACACAGAGACCUCAAGUGUGACAACAUAUUCGUUAAUGGUCACCUCGGAGAAGUGAAGAUUGGUGAUCUUGGAUUGGCAGCAGUUCUCCGAGGUAGAGCACACAGUGUUAUAGGUACGCCUGAGUUCAUGGCACCUGAGUUGUAUGAGGAGAACUACAAUGAGCUCGUCGAUGUGUACUCGUAUGGAAUGUGCAUCUUGGAGAUGAUUACUUCUGAGUAUCCAUAUAGUGAAUGCACGAAUCCUGCUCAGAUAUACAAGAAAGUGAUAUCAGGUAAGAAGCCAAGGGCAUUCUACAAAGUUCAAGACUUGGAUGCACAGAGAUUCAUUGGGAAAUGUUUGGAGACUGCAUCGAAGAGGCUGUCCGCGAAGGAGCUGAUGCUCGAUCCGUUCCUUGCUGUUGAUGAAGCUGAUGAGCGCUCUGACUCAAGCAUCAGGUGCCAAAAGCCUUUCUUGAACGAGAAGAUCUCACUCGAGCACCUGGAGCUGAACGAUGACGAUGCUCCGAGAACUAACAUGACGAUCACUGGAAAGUUAAACCCCGAGGAUGGUGACAUCAUUCUCAAAGUGCAGAUUGCUGAUAAAGAAGGUGCUGUAAGGAAUGUUUUCUUUCCCUUUGAUAUCGUGAGUGAUACUCCAAUUGAUGUGGCAAAUGAGAUGGUGAAGGAGCUCGAGAUUAUGGACUGGCGGCCAUCAGAGAUAGCCAACAUGAUUGACGGGGAGAUUUCGGGUCUUAUUCCGGAUUGGAAGGCUGAGAAUCCUCAUUCAGCUCAUCUUCAUGUACUGAACUAUCAAGAAGAUGAUUAUGAUCACCAAAACCUUUUCUCGCCAUCCUCGUCUUCUCAAAUGUCCGCCUUGGGCUCUAUUGCGUCUCACAGGACAGCUGAGGCGAAGCCUAGCUGGAUACAAGGUGACUUUUUUGAUGAGACCAGUUCCCAGAGCUCCACACAUUCUGAGAAGUAUUCUAACUGGGCUUACUACUCUGCAGAUGAAAACGAACACGAACAUGUAGUAAGCCCAAAUUCAAGGUUCUAUCCCGGAAAUAAAUCAGCCAUGGGGGUAAAAUACUCCGCGGAAACCCCUAGGCUUACUAGGAAUCGGUCUUUAGUAGAUACUCGGAGCCAGCUGCUGCACCGGUCACUAGUGGACGAGGUUAACAGAAGGCGAUUGUUCAAUACCGUUGAUGCAGUAGAGAAUAUAGGGUUCCGAUCUCCUUAUGAAGGUUUGAGUAAAACUCCCAAAACACUCAAUGGUGCUUAUCAGGUUAGGCUCACGGAUCAUGCUAAAAGACAAGAACACAGAGCACGUAGAGGCUAGCUGUGUCGCUCUAGAAUCCGUAGAUGCCUACACGAAGUCCCACGACAUCAUUCGUGUGUGUAGUUGGUGUUUUUAUCGAGACGGUGUAUUUCAUCGGAUGUAGCAUCGAGCCGGGGUGGAAGGGACCAGGCCAUAUAAGACAGCUAUGUUUCCACAUUCAUUCAUCAAGCAAAGAUGAUAGAACCUCUAAAAAAAAGAUGAUAGAAAAUUUGGGAUUUGAUGCUAAUAAUUGAGAGCCCUCCACUUUUUCUUUUUCUUUUUCUUUUUGUCUAUUUUGAUGAUGAAUACAAUCAACUUUGAUUUUACUAAUGUGCAACGUGAAAUUAUUAGCUUUUUGAAAUUUA
Molecule: RNA transcript, 2817 nt
Organism: Salvia splendens (bonfire salvia)
Lineage: Eukaryota; Viridiplantae; Streptophyta; Magnoliopsida; Lamiales; Lamiaceae
Gene name: probable serine/threonine-protein kinase WNK4
Exons: 9
Source: RefSeq, a predicted model, not a curated record